This 89-nucleotide non-coding RNA is filed under the name Neptuniibacter sp. RNAcentral describes it as "Glycine sequence". It matches the Rfam family "Glycine riboswitch aptamer". Rfam says of the family: This family represents the bacterial glycine riboswitch. Glycine riboswitches usually consist of two metabolite-binding aptamers domains with similar structures in tandem. Lineage: Bacteria; Pseudomonadati; Pseudomonadota; Gammaproteobacteria; Oceanospirillales; Oceanospirillaceae. The record is from RNAcentral.
UUACCUCUUUUGGGAGAGAUCGGUUAAUCACCGACGCCGAAGGCGCAAUCCGUCCGGAAUCGCUCAGGCAAAUGGACCAUAAGAGAGAU